This 251-nucleotide ribosomal RNA is filed under the name uncultured prokaryote. RNAcentral's name for it is "partial 16S rRNA". It matches the Rfam family "Bacterial small subunit ribosomal RNA", at positions 525 to 775 of the family's 1533-position model. The record is from RNAcentral.
ACGUAGGGGGCGAGCGUUGUCCGGAAUCAUUGGGCGUAAAGCGCGUGUAGGCGGUUACGUAAGUCUGCUGUGAAAGUCGGAGGCUCAACCUUCGAAAGCCGGUGGAUACUGCGUGACUUGAGUACGGAAGAGGAGAGUGGAAUUCCUGGUGUAGCGGUGAAAUGCGCAGAUAUCAGGAGGAACACCAACGGCGAAGGCAGCUCUCUGGGACGUAACUGACGCUGAGACGCGAAAGCGUGGGGAGCAAACAG